Molecule: long non-coding RNA, 723 nt
Filed under: Hordeum vulgare
Lineage: Eukaryota; Viridiplantae; Streptophyta; Magnoliopsida; Poales; Poaceae
Description: long non-coding RNA (HVUL_LNC018646)
Source: RNAcentral
AUCUGGUGGCUCUCAAUCGGUGUUGGCCUUCCAUCGAACACCUGGUGGGUGCUAACUGCUAAGUGCAGUACCUACUCCGUGGACGAGUUUAAGUAUGUCUGCUCCAUACAUGUCUCCUGCAUGUCCCAUCCAGGAGCUCUGGCUCACGGAAGAUACAAAACCAGCACCAUAGUCCAUCUCACAUCAAGCGGAAAGGCAGAGCAUGUACUCAGCAAAUUCCUUGUUGAUGAACAGCCACAGAAAAAUCAGCACCAAUCAAGGGAUUUUACAGUACUGAUUUGGAUAACAGUAUUCAGUACCAACCCUCACCUCGAAUGAAUGAGCUGCAGCACAACUUGCAAGCGCCAACCACAAACGCCGCUGCUGAACGCAUCCGCAUGAGCUGCUGCCGCCAACCCGCAUGAACGCCCCUGCUGCCGUGUUGAAUUUGGGAUGAAUUGGUGGUAGUCACCAGCAGAUCGCCGCCACCAACACCAAAAUAGUUUCGCUGGCACAGUUCACUGGUUGACGCUGGGAGGGAGGUGGCCGCCAAUGCCAUGGAGAAGAAAAACGCCACCAGAGAAAUCGGAGGUCGGCGACUUGAUGAAGACCCUAACUGAAGCUAGUGAAUAAUUGCAAUUACUGAAAGAAAACAGGGACAAGAUCAAGUAACUGCAAGGAACUGUAGAUAUAUUGAUAAGAACAGACGCAAGGUUGGUACAAAGAGGAACAAGGAAAUUAGGG